Solanum lycopersicum (tomato) is the source of this 1114-nucleotide long non-coding RNA. RefSeq lists it as uncharacterized. The record is from RefSeq and is a predicted model, not a curated record. Lineage: Eukaryota; Viridiplantae; Streptophyta; Magnoliopsida; Solanales; Solanaceae.
UUGCAAGGUUGCAGUCACUUCCGGAACUGGGGGUAGAACCUGCAAUUAACAAGUAUGAUUGAGUUUUUACAUGUUGACAUAAAACAUGAAAGCAAAUUCAAAACAUCACUUUCACGUGCUAAUCAUCCAUGAGGUCAGCACCAUAAAAUUUCUAAAAAGGUACAUCUGCUGGUUCCUACUCUCAAGACAAAUAACUAUGAGACAGAGAAAGCCACUAUUUUCAUGUCAAGAAUAUAUUUAGUGCAGAAGCGCUUUACAAUAGAAGCAAAUGAUUGUUAUGGCGACACCGACUGUUGGAAUUAAACUUAUUAACCAUAUAAGGAGAAGUGCGAAAUCCAGAUUACUUAAUCCACCCAAAGAUGCAAUGUUCAGCAAGGACUAAAAUGAACAGGAAUAACUGGUUGUCUGGUUCCAACUGAUUUUGGAGUGCCACAUAAUUUCUUGAUGGAUUUAUAGAUAGUUCUUUGGCUAAAGUGCUUCUUAGAGAUCUAGAGCACUCUACUCUUAGGCGUUAGUCUUAAUAUCAUCAGUAUAUAAAUUUAUUAGCACUCUCCCCCCAUAGAUUAAUAUCAUCUGACAGUGAUUGAUCAAGAUGUCCUUCAAAAGAUAAGCAGAUAGAUAUAAAACGGAGACAAAGCAAUCUUUUUCUUCUUCUAAAUUAUGUCUUCCAUUCGCCGUUUAGUAUGCAUUCGCAAAGUCUACCAAAAGCGACAUGAUGCCAGUGAAGAUAGAAGGUGAGGUAAAAACAGAAAAAUCUAAUAUCACUCCUCUUUAUCUUUAGGCAUGGCCUAUAACUGGGACUUUGGAUGCAUUAUCAGGGAGAUAGAUGAACUCCACUUUGCACAAAGUUCCGUAUUACAUCUUUAGACUACUCACUAAAUACACAGAGAAUUUCAAGCUGUCAAUCAAAUGCUAACAGAUUUGCAACAUUUAGACAUGUACCUACACAAGUGACUCUGGUUCAAUUCUACUACAAUGAUCAAAGAUUUGUGUUUCAGAGUUGACUAUAUGUAGGCCAGUCAUUCUUUACUCGGAAAUCCUGUUCAUGAUUUACAGGGAUCUAUUAAAGUAUCAUCUCUUAUAGACGCCCUAAAAAGGGUGUGUUUUCUUGCUA